CCCUGCACCAAUGUCAACAAGAGGUAGAAUUGGUUUAUAUUAGAGCAGCUCAUCAAAUAUUUUAGAGUUUGGAGAAAAAGGGGAGGGAAAUUGACAUUUCAUUAGGCUAAAUCCACUGCGCCACCUCCAGACAAAGUAAAAGUAAAAAAAAAAAUCAUUGAAUUGUAAGAACAGAGACUUGGUUUCCUUCAGAUUUCAAAUGGCAGGGAAAGAUUGGCUUAUUUCAGGCUGGUAUAUCCCAAGAUACAAGCUUGCUUGUCAAACAGGGUGCUUUGGUUGGAAGAAAACAGCAGAAUCUUUCCAAAUGUGAGAAAGACGGUGGAUGAUGUGGCAGAACGCUAUUUUAUAGCUUCGCUUUGGUCUUACUUAAAUAGGACUUUUAUAGUUAUGAUUUUUACAUGAUUCCUACCAAUAGUAGGAACUCUUGUUCUUCUGUUGGUAUUUCCAGCCCAGUGCCUUUCACAUUUUAUUUAUCAAUAAAAUGUUUCUAUUAGCCUUGUCUGAUAA
This is a long non-coding RNA of Cucumis melo (muskmelon), 507 nucleotides long. RefSeq lists it as uncharacterized. The transcript is spliced from 2 exons. NCBI's taxonomy places the organism in Eukaryota, Viridiplantae, Streptophyta, Magnoliopsida, Cucurbitales, Cucurbitaceae. The record is from RefSeq and is a predicted model, not a curated record.